CCUACGGGUGGCAGCAGUGGGGAAUAUUGGACAAUGGGGGGAACCCUGAUCCAGCGACGCCGCGUGAGUGAAGAAGUAUUUCGGUAUGUAAAGCUCUAUCAGCAGGGAAGAAAGAAAUGACGGUACCUGACUAAGAAGCCCCGGCUAACUACGUGCCAGCAGCCGCGGUAAUACGUAUGGAGCAAGAGUUAUCCGGAUUUACUGGGUGUAAAGGGAGAGUAGGGGGCAGAGCAAGUCCGAAGUGAAAACCCAAAGAUCAACUAUGGGAAUGCGUUAGAAACUGCUCAGCUAGAGUGCAGGAGAGGAAAGUGGAAUUCUUAGUGUAGCGGUGAAAUGCGUAGAUAUUAGGAGGAACACCAGUGGCGAAGGCGGCUUGCUGGACUGUAACUGACGCUGAGGCUCGAAAGCGUGGGGAGCAAACAGGAUUAGAUACCCUAGUAGUC
RNAcentral lists this ribosomal RNA (443 nucleotides) under uncultured bacterium. RNAcentral's name for it is "partial 16S ribosomal RNA". It matches the Rfam family "Bacterial small subunit ribosomal RNA", at positions 338 to 795 of the family's 1533-position model. The record is from RNAcentral.